Molecule: ribosomal RNA, 253 nt
Filed under: uncultured prokaryote
Description: partial 16S ribosomal RNA
Rfam family: Bacterial small subunit ribosomal RNA
Source: RNAcentral
ACGUAGGCGGCAAGCGUUAUCCGGAUUUACUGGGCGUAAAGCGAGUGUAGGUGGUUUUUCAAGUCUUUUUUGAAAUCGUCCCGCUCAACGGGACUGCCGGAAAAGAUACUGAAAGGCUCGAGUCAUAUAGGGACAACUGGAACUCUCGGUGUAGGGGUGAAAUCCGAUGAUAUCGAGAGGAACACCAAGGGCGAAGGCAGGUUGUUGGAUAUGUACUGACACUGAGACUCGACAGCUAGGGGAGCGAAAGGGA